This 75-nucleotide antisense RNA is filed under the name Micromonospora zamorensis. Its description in RNAcentral is "ASpks TB sRNA". It matches the Rfam family "ASpks TB sRNA". RNAcentral also lists the same sequence under 1 other name. Lineage: Bacteria; Bacillati; Actinomycetota; Actinomycetes; Micromonosporales; Micromonosporaceae. The record is from RNAcentral.
CUUGAUCGACCCCAGCCACAGCGGCUCGUCGGCGGAGCGGUCCUGGCCGUAGGUGGCGAUCAGGGCCUGCGCCUC